AUUGAACGCUGGCGGCAUGCUUUACACAUGCAAGUCGAACGGCAGCGGGGUAGUGCUUGCACUACUGCCGGCGAGUGGCGAACGGGUGAGUAAUAUAUCGGAACGUACCGAGUAAUGGGGGAUAACCAAUCGAAAGAUUGGCUAAUACCGCAUACGUCCUGAGGGAGAAAGCGGGGGAUCGCAAGACCUCGCGUUAUUCGAGCGGCCGAUAACUGAUUAGCUAGUUGGUGGGGUAAAGGCCUACCAAGGCGACGAUCAGUAGCGGGUCUGAGAGGACGAUCCGCCACACUGGGACUGAGACACGGCCCAGACUCCUACGGGAGGCAGCAGUGGGGAAUUUUGGACAAUGGGGGCAACCCUGAUCCAGCCAUGCCGCGUGUAUGAAGAAGGCCUUCAGGUUGUAAAGUACUUUUGUUAGGGAAGAAAAGGGAAGUGCUAAUACCACUUUUUGCUGACGGUACCUAAAGAAUAAGCACCGGCUAACUACGUG
Molecule: ribosomal RNA, 490 nt
Filed under: uncultured bacterium
Lineage: Bacteria
Description: partial 16S ribosomal RNA
Rfam family: Bacterial small subunit ribosomal RNA
Source: RNAcentral